ACAUACUGAAGUUUGAUGCCA
This 21-nucleotide microRNA is filed under the name Physcomitrium patens. Its description in RNAcentral is "ppt-miR1067". The record is from miRBase by way of RNAcentral. Lineage: Eukaryota; Viridiplantae; Streptophyta; Bryopsida; Funariales; Funariaceae.